GCGAGUCGAGCGAAUGGAUUAAGCAGCUUGCUCUUAUGAAGUUAGCGGCGGACGGGUGAGUAACACGUGGGUAACCUGCCCAUAAGACUGGGAUAACUCCGGGAAACCGGGGCUAAUACCGGAUAACAUUUUGAACCGCAUGGUUCGAAAUUGAAAGGCGGCUUCGGCUGUCACUUAUGGAUGGACCCGCGUCGCAUUAGCUAGUUGGUGAGGUAACGGCUCACCAAGGCAACGAUGCGUAGCCGACCUGAGAGGGUGAUCGGCCACACUGGGACUGAGACACGGCCCAGACUCCUACGGGAGGCAGCAGUAGGGAAUCUUCCGCAAUGGACGAAAGUCUGACGGAGCAACGCCGCGUGAGUGAUGAAGGCUUUCGGUCGUAAAACUCUGUUGUUAGGGAAG
RNAcentral lists this ribosomal RNA (402 nucleotides) under Bacillus cereus group sp. RNAcentral describes it as "bacterial SSU rRNA". It matches the Rfam family "Bacterial small subunit ribosomal RNA", at positions 57 to 447 of the family's 1533-position model. The record is from RNAcentral. Lineage: Bacteria; Bacillati; Bacillota; Bacilli; Caryophanales; Bacillaceae.